GGAGUUAGCCGGUGCUUCUUCUGUGAGUGAUGUCCUUCCUGCCGGUUAUUGACCCGCAGGCCUUCUUCCUCACUGAAAGUGCUUUACAACCCGAAGGCCUUCUUCACACACGCGGCAUGGCUGGAUCAGGGUUGCCCCCAUUGUCCAAUAUUCCCCACUGCUGCCUCCCGUAGGAGUCUGGGCCGUGUCUCAGUCCCAGUGUGGCUGAUCAUCCUCUCAGACCAGCUACGGAUCGUCGCCUUGGUGAGCCGUUACCUCACCAACCAGCUAAUCCGACAUAGGCUCAUCCGAUAGCGCGAGGCCCGAAGGUCCCCCGCUUUCCCCCGUAGGGCGUAUGCGGUAUUAGCCUGGGUUUCCCCAGGGUUAUCCCCCACUACCGGGGCAGAUUCCUAUGCAUUACUCACCCGUCCGCCGCUCGCCACCAGGGAGCAAGCUCCCCGUGCUGCCGCUCGACUUGCAUGUGUAGGCCUCGCCGCCACGCGUCAAUCUGAGCCGAGGAUACAACUACUCGA
RNAcentral lists this ribosomal RNA (512 nucleotides) under uncultured bacterium. RNAcentral's name for it is "partial 16S ribosomal RNA". The record is from RNAcentral.